GGAUUGUAGCUCAGUGGUACAGUGCUUGCCUCAUAUGCGAGAGGUGCUGGAUUCGAUCCUCAGCACCA
This 68-nucleotide transfer RNA is filed under the name Marmota monax (woodchuck). Its description in RNAcentral is "tRNA.Met". The record is from RNAcentral. Lineage: Eukaryota; Metazoa; Chordata; Mammalia; Rodentia; Sciuridae.